RNAcentral lists this ribosomal RNA (429 nucleotides) under Kocuria sp. RNAcentral's name for it is "bacterial SSU rRNA". It matches the Rfam family "Bacterial small subunit ribosomal RNA", at positions 21 to 448 of the family's 1533-position model. Lineage: Bacteria; Bacillati; Actinomycetota; Actinomycetes; Micrococcales; Micrococcaceae. The record is from RNAcentral.
GGCUCAGGACGAACGCUGGCGGCGUGCUUAACACAUGCAAGUCGAACGAUGAUGCCCAGCUUGCUGGGCGGAUUAGUGGCGAACGGGUGAGUAAUACGUGAGUAACCUGCCCUUGACUCUGGGAUAAGCCUGGGAAACCGGGUCUAAUACUGGAUACUACUUCGCACCGCAUGGUGGGGGGUGGAAAGGGUUUUACUGGUUUUGGAUGGGCUCACGGCCUAUCAGCUUGUUGGUGGGGUAAUGGCUCACCAAGGCGACGACGGGUAGCCGGCCUGAGAGGGUGACCGGCCACACUGGGACUGAGACACGGCCCAGACUCCUACGGGAGGCAGCAGUGGGGAAUAUUGCACAAUGGGCGAAAGCCUGAUGCAGCGACGCCGCGUGAGGGAUGACGGCCUUCGGGUUGUAAACCUCUUUCAGUAGGGAAGA